GAGAAUGUGUAGGAAAAAAUUCCACCAUUGUGUCCCCACAGGGUACCCCCGUGGGAACUAUCGAACAGCGUUUCGACGGUGCUCAGGGCUGCCCCGCUGCCUCUCGCAGCUUGUCUCGGUAACAUCCUGGAAAGCCACUUAAGUGCAAUCAUCUCCUUCCAUAGUGUGGUGACUAGAACUGCACGCAGUCUUCUAUUUGUGGCCGAACUGAAGUUUUAGAAUGCUGUUCUUCUUGCUCUUAUAUUCCGUCAAGCGCUGGAGGAAGUCAGCAUGUCAGAAACAAGAUCUGUCCAACCAGAGCAAAGAGCAUACUGGAAGCUUGCAAUUAAGCUCAGAGUCAUAGAAUCAGAACACUACAGCACAGAAACAGGCCCUUCAGCCCAUCUAGUCCAUACCGACUAUUAAUCUGCCUAAUCCCAUUGAUCUGCACUCGGACCAUAGCCCUCUAUAACCUUCCCAUCCAUGUCCAUAUCCAAAUUUCUCUUAAAGGAAGGAGAAGAUGGCGACGAGACACAGCUUGCAGCAGCCACUCUGGUGAAUGAUAUCUGUUAUCUGUCAAGUAGGGUGCCGUGCACAAUCCUGAUUUGAUGGAGACAGACGUGAGAGCACGAAGGAACAUCUGGAGAAACUUCUGAAAUGCCUGUUUCGAUGCUGCUGCUACUGUGUGAUCCAGAAUCUCUGGAGGGGAAGGCCCCGAGUCCUCGGCUUUGUUUGUUGCUCAGUGGCUAGGGCGGGGUCAAAGCGCUCGGCAGAGAUGGUGCUCAGUGCUUGGUGUCGGAGGGCUGGUCGGAGGCUCAAAGUUUUCGACGGACUCAGAGACGGCUGCAGUCGGGUGCUUCCAAUGCAUUGGCAAAUUUGCGGCGCUUCCGUCUGCGUGAGAUGAUGUGGCUAUCAGGACUUGAGACUUUUUUACCGUGCCCAUGGUCUGCUCUUUAUCAAAUUACGGUAUUGCUUUGCACUGUUGUAACUAUAUGUUAUAAUUAUGUGGUUUUGUCAGUUUUAGUCUUGGUUUGUCCUGUGUUUCUGUGAUAUCUUUCUGGAGGUACAUUGUAUCAUUUUUUAAUGCAUGCAUUUCUAAAU
Mobula hypostoma (lesser devil ray) is the source of this 1080-nucleotide long non-coding RNA. RefSeq lists it as uncharacterized. The record is from RefSeq and is a predicted model, not a curated record. Lineage: Eukaryota; Metazoa; Chordata; Chondrichthyes; Myliobatiformes; Myliobatidae. The transcript is spliced from 3 exons.